Cyprinodon variegatus (sheepshead minnow) is the source of this 272-nucleotide long non-coding RNA. RefSeq lists it as uncharacterized. Lineage: Eukaryota; Metazoa; Chordata; Actinopteri; Cyprinodontiformes; Cyprinodontidae. The transcript has 3 exons. The record is from RefSeq and is a predicted model, not a curated record.
ACACACAGCCACAGUUUCCAGGAAGAGGGUGGUCUUUAUUCAGCAGCAGCUCCUCCAGCAGAGCAUGAUCAGUGGUCAGACCAGUGAGAGCUACAAUGAUGGAAACAUCUCUUCAUUAUCUGCUCUUUCUGACUUCACUGGUUUGCCUCAUAACUGAUACAGCUGCUCUGACUGUGAGUCCCAGCAGAUCUCAGUUCUUUCAGUUUGACUCUGUGUUUCUGAGCUGUGAGGAGAACAACAGCUCUGCUGGAUGGACUGUAUGGAGGAACACA